Long non-coding RNA from Ostrea edulis (European flat oyster), 2709 nucleotides. RefSeq lists it as uncharacterized. The record is from RefSeq and is a predicted model, not a curated record. NCBI's taxonomy places the organism in Eukaryota, Metazoa, Mollusca, Bivalvia, Ostreida, Ostreidae. The transcript is spliced from 3 exons.
CAGAAGCGCUACCACUACAUUGGCUCUAUGGAAUAACUAUACUUGGCACUAAGGAUUAGUACAUCAAAUGCAAACAACUACUGUGUGGGGAAUAUCAUCAUACGUUUUAACUGGGCCUUGACCUGAUUGUGGGGAGUGGUUGAGCAAUGACACACCUACUUCCGCCAAUGACGUAGUACUUAUAUAUAUGAUGAACGAUUUUGUGUGUGGUAUGGCAUGUGACGUCUGCUGCUAUCCGAGGUACCACUGGGAUCAUAGUCAAAAUGGUAUCACUGCCGUUUAUCAUCGUCUACUGUUGAUAUUCAAUGCCUUCGCAUUGGAAGGUCCUAAUUACUACCGUCGAAGGAAUAUGGGUAGAAGUGUAGCGUGCAACCCCAAAAAUAUAUAUAUAAACAGUAAGAAGCGGAUGGGCACCCUCAGUUAACUUUCUGAGGUACUAAUAUUUUAUUUCAAUAUAUACAUAUAGUGAUUGGUACAAGAAAAACUUGACUAUUUGUCUUGAAUUAAGUAUGUACAGGAUUUCUGAUGCAGCUGGCUCGAUCUCUCUGAGCUCGGCUCAUACAGCUCGGCUCUCGUCGCUCUUUCCGACUCUAGCUCUUCGUGGUUCCGGCUCUUACUGGUUCUUCGUGGCUCCGGCUCUUACAGCUCUGCUCUUUCUCGCUCUUCGUGACUCCGGCUCUUACAGCUCGGCUCUUUCUGGCUCUUCGUGACUCCGGCUCUUACAGCUCGGCUCUUUCUGGCUCUUCGUGACUCCGGCUCUUACAGCUCGGCUCUUUCUGGCUCUUCGUGACUCCGGCUCUUACAGCCCGGCUCUUUCUGGCUCUUCGUGACUCCGGCUCUUACAGCUCGGCUCUUUCAGCGCGGUAUUACAAUUAUCUAAUAUUCAUACAAAGCCAGGAAAGACUUGUGCAGUCACGUCUAAGGCUUUGUAUAAUGUUAAAAACAAUUGCAAUGUAUAAAAUAAAUUACCUUUCUAACUCCACGUCUUCACUCUGUGCCGUCACUGCAUCAACUGCUUAUCGCCCGAAAUCUCCCGCUUAUAUACUACUUACAAAAACGCCAUCUAGCGGGGAAACUAUAACAUUUAGAAUACCCAAAGGCGGAGUAGGAAUUUCCGAAUUGUCACAGAAGUAUCACCAAUGGUGAAUUUAUUGAUGCAUCAGCUGGUGCUCAAAACACCGAAACUGGAAACAUUCAAGUCAGGGAUCGAAGAUCUGCAAUCGUGAGUCAAAAUUGUUCUCUGCUCAAUUUUAUCAUUUUAGAUUUUUUGCCUACCUGAUUCUAUUUACUUCCCUUACAACAGAAAAGGGGGUUGCUUAUCAUUUCGUAAAACGUACGGUACGAAAUUCUGUAUCGUGUUGAUAUUUAACUGUUGUACCAUAUCUAUGAUAAAAAUAAGAUUUAGUUUCUUUUUUGUUAUUGAGAACACAUUUUUGACUAUACAUUUCGUCAAAUAAUGGGUUGGGAAAGGGAGUGUUACCACUCUGAUUCCAAGCAUAAGUACCCCAGGGGUGACACUAAAGAUAUGGUAGAGUUCCUCAUUCAUAAAAUCUGCGUAGUCCUAAGUAAUCAAGUCAUCUUGUCGAAUUCCCAUGGGCACGAAUUGUUGCUCCUUUGUUAACGGACAUGUUUUUAUUGCUAUGAGACAGAAUUUAUUGAAAUUAAACUAGAAGAAAUAGUAUCUUAAUGUAUGAAUAUGAACGUUUUAUCUAUUAACAAUAAUAAUUUUCAUUCAUAUGUGGAUUCAAUAUAUCCGUGUCAACUCGAAAAAAGAGACAUCACAGAGUCCUCCACAUGUACUUCGUAUUUAAAUAUUUUAUUGAAAAUAGAUAGCAACUGCAAACUAACAACUCAACUCCAUCGUUGAACGUCAUGGACAUGUUAUGUCCACAGUUGUGGGUUGUUUUGUAUAUCAACAUUGUGAUGACUUACAAACAUGAAUUACAUUUAUACUUUGUAUAUCAGGAUAUAUAUGACUUAUGAAUAACAAGAUAUUGUUUGCUUUGUAUUUCAGUAUUGUCGUGAAAGAAAGAUUAAGGAAUAUCGAGGACCAGCAGGAGGAAGAGGAACAAAGGCUUACACAUGAACACACAUCGCUGAUCUGACAAACUGCAGCGAAAAAUGAACAGAGAAUUUGCAUGUUCAAUUCUUGUUAAAAUAUAAUGAAACUUUUAUCCUCAUUUUUGGUCAAUUUGUAAUUUGAUAGCAAUACACGGAUAGACGUGAUAAAUGCAUGCCAAUUUUAUGCGCUGCAUAGUAAUGAAUAGGAACAGACAGCUUUGAAUUAAAAUAAACGUGAAGAGGUUUAUGUGUUGGAAUGCGGAAGUAAGCAUGUCUGAUUUCAGUUCUUGGAAUCUACAUUGUCUUGGAAACUGUUCAUUGAAACUUCUGUUCUAAUAAAACUAUAAAAUAAAGAUGCGAUGAUCAGUGAUGCAAGCAGUAAUUCUGAAAUACCACAGUUCAAUUACUUUUGGGUUCCUCUUCCAUUUCCUACUGAAGGAUUAAUGUGAAAUUUAUUCUGAACCUCGUCUUAUAUUUAAGAUAUCUGGAUUUGUAGAACGUUAUAGGUGUUUGUCACCACACCUUUGUCGGUUGAACAAUUUUAACCAAAGUGAAUUGUCAUUUAGCGUCAACUUUCUAAUGGAUAACUGAGAAUUCUUGUAUAUCUUAUUACACUGAUUUUGACUACGGAUAACCCCGUUUACUUGA